This 482-nucleotide ribosomal RNA is filed under the name uncultured bacterium. Its description in RNAcentral is "partial 16S ribosomal RNA". It matches the Rfam family "Bacterial small subunit ribosomal RNA", at positions 30 to 507 of the family's 1533-position model. The record is from RNAcentral.
AUUGAACGCUGGCGGCAUGCCUUACACAUGCAAGUCGAACGGUAACGAGCCUUCGGGUGCCGACGAGUGGCGAACGGGUGCGUAAUACAUCGGAACGUGCCCGAUCGUGGGGGAUAACGAGGCGAAAGCUUUGCUAAUACCGCAUACGAUCUACGGAUGAAAGCAGGGGACCGAAAGGCCUUGCGCGGACGGAGCGGCCGAUGGCAGAUUAGGUAGUGGGUGGGAUAAAAGCUUACCAAGCCGAUGAUCUGUAGCUGGUCUGAGAGGCUGAUCAGCCACACUGGGACUCAGACACGGCCCAGACUCCUACGGGAGGCAGCAGUGGGGAAUUUUGGACAAUGGGCGCAAGCCUGAUCCAGCCAUGCCGCGUGCAGGAUGAAGGCCUUCGGGUUGUAAACUGCUUUUGUACGGAACGAAAAGCCUUCUUUUAAUACAGGAGGGUCAUGACGGUACCGUAAGAAUAAGCACCGGCUAACUACGUG